Molecule: unclassified non-coding RNA, 221 nt
Filed under: Hevea brasiliensis (rubber tree)
Lineage: Eukaryota; Viridiplantae; Streptophyta; Magnoliopsida; Malpighiales; Euphorbiaceae
Source: RNAcentral
CCAAAAUGGGGAUGACAGAAGAUUUUGAAACAUCUUUGCAAGUCUUACGGGGAUUUGAUGUAGACAUUUCUGCUGAAGUGAAUGAAAUCAAGAGAUCCGUAGCAUCAUCAAACAAAAGAACAACAAUACGGUUUGCAGAUCUCAGGCGGAGAAGAUAUUGGUUCCCUUUGAUGGUAGGAAUUGGAUUACUUAUGCUCCAGCAGCUCAGUGGCAUCAAUGGG